This 425-nucleotide ribosomal RNA is filed under the name uncultured bacterium. Its description in RNAcentral is "bacterial SSU rRNA". It matches the Rfam family "Bacterial small subunit ribosomal RNA", at positions 195 to 651 of the family's 1533-position model. The record is from RNAcentral.
CAGGGAGGAAGCGAUACCAGGGUAUCGGCUCUUGGCGGGCUCAUGCCUAUCAGCUGUUGGUGAGUAACGGCUACCAAGGCUCGACGGGUACUGGUCUGAAGGACGAUCGCCACACUGCACUGCGACCGGGCCAGAUCCUACGGGGGCAGCAGUAGGAAUAUUCGCAAUGGGGAAAGCCUGCGCAGCGACCCGCGUGGGGAUGAAGGUUUCGGAUUGAAACCCCUUCGGGAGGGAGAUGGAAUGGGUAACCCAUCGGACGGUCCUCCAGAACAGCCACGGUAACUUUGUCCAGCAGCCCGGUAAUACAAGGUGGCAGCGUUAUUCUGAUUUACUGGCCGUACAGGAGCGUAAGCGGUUCGGAAGCCCUUUGUGAAAAUCUCAAGGCUUACCUGGAACGUCGGAGGGACUGCCCGGUUAUAAGACGG